Molecule: ribosomal RNA, 503 nt
Filed under: uncultured Glomus
Lineage: Eukaryota; Fungi; Glomeromycota; Glomeromycetes; Glomerales; Glomeraceae
Description: SSU rRNA
Rfam family: Eukaryotic small subunit ribosomal RNA
Source: RNAcentral
AGCAGCCGCGGUAAUUCCAGCUCCAAUAGCGUAUAUUAAAGUUGUUGCAGUUAAAAAGCUCGUAGUUGAAUUUCGAGACCGGCUUACUGGUCGUGCUUUUGUGCGUACUGGUAUAAUCGGUUUCUCCUUUCUGACGAACUUUAAUGCCAUUAAUUUGGUGUUUUAGGGAAUCAGGACUGUUACUUUGAAAAAUUAGAGUGUUUAAAGCAGGCUCACGCUUGAAUACAUUAGCAUGGAAUAACGGAAUAGGACGUUUGAUUCUAUUUUGUUGGUUUCUAGGAUCGACGUAAUGAUUAAUAGGGAUAGUUGGGGGCAUUAGUAUUCAAUUGUCAGAGGUGAAAUUCUUGGAUUUAUUGAAGACUAACUACUGCGAAAGCAUUUGCCAAGGAUGUUUUCAUUAAUCAAGAACGAAAGUUAGGGGAUCGAAGACGAUCAGAUACCGUCGUAGUCUUAACCAUAAACUAUGCCGACUAGGGAUCGGAUGAUGUUAAUUUUUAAUGACU